This 1502-nucleotide ribosomal RNA is filed under the name uncultured bacterium. RNAcentral's name for it is "bacterial SSU rRNA". It matches the Rfam family "Bacterial small subunit ribosomal RNA". The record is from RNAcentral.
UGAGUGGAGAGUUUGAUCCCGGCUCAGGAUAAACGCUGGCGGCGUGCCUUAUGCAUGCAAGUCGAACGGUCAUGGUUUCGAUCAUGAUAGUGGCAAACGGGUGAGUAACACGUAAGUUACCUGCCCCCAGGUAGGGGAUAACUCUGAGAAAUCGGGGCUAAUACCGUAUGUGGUGACGGUUGUAAUGGCCGUCAAGAAAGCCUUCGGGCACCUGGGGAUGGGCUUGCGCCCGAUUAGCUAGUUGGUGGGGUAACGGCUCACCAAGGCGAUGAUCGGUAGCUGGUCUGAGAGGAUGGUCAGCCACACUGGGACUGAGACACGGCCCAGACUCCUACGGGAGGCAGCAGCAAGGAAUAUUGGACAAUGGGCGAAAGCCUGAUCCAGCGACGCCGCGUGGGGGAUGAAGGGCUUCGGUUCGUAAACCCCUUUUCCCGGGGAUGAAUGAUGACAGUACUCGGGGAAUAAGCCACGGCUAACUACGUGCCAGCAGCCGCGGUAAUACGUAGUGGCGAGCGUUAUCCGGAUUUAUUGGGCGUAAAGUGGGCGCAGGCGGUUCUUCAAGUCGGACGUAAAAUCUCCCGGCUCAACUGGGAGGGACCGUCCGAUACUGUUGAACUAGAGGGCAACAGAGGGGGGUAGAAUUCCCGGUGUAGUGGUGGAAUGCGUAGAUAUCGGGAGGAAUACCAGUGGCGAAAGCGGCCCCCUGGGUUGUCACUGACGCUGAUGCCCGAAAGCGUGGGGAGCAAACAGGAUUAGAUACCCUGGUAGUCCACGCCAUAAACUAUGGACACUGGGUGCAGGGAGUAUCAACCCUUUCUGUGCCGAAGCUAACGCGUUAAGUGUCCCGUCUGGGAAGUACGGCCGCAGGGCUAAAACUCAAAGGAAUUGACGGGAGCCCGCACAAGCAGCGGAGCGUGUGGUUUAAUUCGACCAAAGCGAAGAACCUUACCAAGGCUUGACAUGUCGGAAGUAGGAACCCGAAAGGGGGACGACCCGUUAAGUCGGGAACCGUCACAGGUGCUGCAUGGCUGUCGUCAGCUCGUGCCGUGAGGUGUUUGGUUAAGUCCUGCAACGAGCGCAACCCCCGUUGCCAGUUACACUCUCUGGCGAGACUGCCCUGCAAAACGGGGAGGAAGGUGGGGAUGACGUCAAGUCAGCACGGCCCUUAUGCCUUGGGCUACACACACGCUACAAUGGGUGGUACAGUAGGUUGCAAUAGAGCGAUCUGGAGCUAAUCCCUAAAGCCAUCCUCAGUUCGGAUUGCAGGCUGAAACUCGCCUGCAUGAAGUUGGAGUUGCUAGUAACCGCAUGUCAGCACAGUGCGGUGAAUACGUUCUCGGGCUUUGUACGCACCGCCCGUCACGUCAUGAAAGUUGGCAACGCCUGAAGUCGAUGGGCUAACCCCGUUCGCGGGGAGGCAGUCGCCGAAGGCGGGGCUGAUGAUUGGGACGAAGUCGUAACAAGGUAGCCGUAGCGGAAGCUGCGGCUGGAUCACCUCCUAU